Molecule: ribosomal RNA, 196 nt
Filed under: uncultured Thiotrichales bacterium
Lineage: Bacteria; Pseudomonadati; Pseudomonadota; Gammaproteobacteria; Thiotrichales
Description: partial 16S ribosomal RNA
Rfam family: Bacterial small subunit ribosomal RNA
Source: RNAcentral
ACCCCUACGGGGGGCAGCAGUGGGGAAUAUUGGACAAUGGGGGCAACCCUGAUCCAGCAAUGCCGCGUGUGUGAAGAAGGCCUGCGGGUUGUAAAGCACUUUCAAUUGGGAAGAAAAGCGAUCGGUUAAUACCCGGUUGUCUUGACGUUACCUUUACAAGAAGCACCGGCUAACUCCGUGCCAGCAGCCGCGGUAA